CAACCCUCAGAGCUCAAACUCUGGUGUUGGGGCUCUCUGCGACUGCCGCAGGCCCUGAAAAGCAGUGGCGGGCUCCGCUAUACUCCGAGCGCAGUAAUACUUCUCGCUUAGGGCGUAUAGCGGGGAUCUAGCUUUACUCAUUUUUUAAAA
Molecule: unclassified non-coding RNA, 150 nt
Filed under: uncultured Sordariales
Lineage: Eukaryota; Fungi; Ascomycota; Sordariomycetes; Sordariales
Description: sequence contains ITS2
Source: RNAcentral